Macaca mulatta (Rhesus monkey) is the source of this 4319-nucleotide non-coding RNA. Lineage: Eukaryota; Metazoa; Chordata; Mammalia; Primates; Cercopithecidae. The record is from RefSeq and is a predicted model, not a curated record.
GCCAUCAUACCCUGCCUAAGCAGACUACUUUCAAAUUCUGCCUCAGUUUCAAGUCUCAAUUUCAUCAUUUGUAAAAUGGGGAUAAUACAUACUUCACAACAUCGUUGGGAAGAUCGAGUGAGCUAAUGCAUAUAAAAUAUUCAACAGGCCAGGCACAGUGGCUCACGUGUGUAAUCCCAGCACUUUGGGAGGCCGAGGUGGGUGGAUCACCUGAGAUCAGGAGUUCGAGACCAGCCUGACCAACGUGGAGAAACCCCGUCUCUACUAAAAACACAAAAAAUUAGACAGGCAUGGUGGCGCAUGCCUGUAAUCCCAGCUACUCUGGAGGCUGAGGCAGGAGAAUCGCUUGAACCUGGGAGGCAGAGGUUGCAGUGAGCCAAGAUUGCACCAUUGCACAUAACAAAAGCGAAACUCCAUCUCAAAAAAAAAAAUGCAUUCAACGUGACACGUAGUAAGCACUCAAAUAUUAGCUAUAAAUAGAGAUUGGAAGAAUAAGUUGGUGCUGAUUUUGGAAGCUACAUAUUAGUCAAAGAGUUUGAACUUUAUUCUAAAGUUUGAGCUAUUUAAUGCCUUAAGCAUGAGAGUGACUUACAUCACAUCUGUUUACCAGUGUGCCGGCAAGGUAGGGAAAAUAAGGGAAGGAAACUUUCUGUAAAGUGGCGCUACUUCUUUGUGGGAGAGUGAAGGAGAUAUUCUCCCCUUGUUGUCCUCCCGCCUUCCCUUCUGCCUGAAGGCCUUUUAAUUCCUGCCUUUUUCAGAAAGGAGACUCAUCUCUCCUGUCUGGUACUUGGGUUGUUUGAGGAUGAGAUGUCUGGACUGCCCGAUGUUACGGGAAUCUCUUCAUGUCGUAUUCCUUUCACCCACCCUGUGAAAUGGAAACCAAAACUCCUGAGUGUCUACUAAUAGAAACUUUGCUCUUAACAGAUUGUUAAAAGUCCUAAAUGGAUAAGGUCCCUGCCUCCAUUUUAAGCUCUUAAUUAUGUGCUAAUUCUGUGCUGGGAGUCUCAUAUACAGCAAGCUUGUCCAACCUGUGGCCCAGGACAGCUUUGAAUGCAGCCUAACACACAUUCAUAAACUUUCUUGAAACAUGAUUAGAUUUGUCUGCAAUUUUUUUCUUAAGCUCAUCGGCUGUCGUUAGUGUAUUUUAUGUGUGCCCCAAGACAGUUACUCCAAUGUGGCCCAGGGAAGCCAAAAGAUUGGACACCUCUGAAUUAUACAGUAUCUCAUUUAACUCUCACAAACAACCCUGUGAAGCAAUGAUUAUCCGUGGCAUACAGAGUGAGAAAUGUAUGUCUAGAAGUUGAGAUAACCAGAGUCCAAGAGAUGGAGAUUAGACUGAAGUCUUUAUGCUCCUCCUCAGCUGCUGGUCUUCUCUGUACCUAGGGUGGCCACAUGAUCAGCUUACACCGAAGUAGUUCCUGGCUUUGGUGUAUAGGACUGGUACCCCUGGCUUGGUUUCCAGAUUCCUGAAGUUAAAAAACUUGGAUUCUGGGCCGGGUGCGGGGGCCCACGCCUGUAAUCCCAGCACUUUGGGAGGUCAAGGAUCAUGAGGUCAGGAGUUUGAGACCACCCUGGCCAACAUGGUGAAACCCCACCUCUACUAAAAAUACAAAAAUUAGUUGGACGUGGUGUUGCACAUCUGUAAUCCCAGCUCCUUGGGAGGCGGAGGCAGGGGAAUUGCUUGAACCUGGGAGGCGGAGGUUAUGGUGAGCCGCAGUCGCACCAUUGCACUCCAGCCUAGGCGACAAGAACAAGACUCCAUCUCAAAAAAAAAAAAAAAAGACUUGGAUCCUUAUGAGCCCUCCCCUCUUCUCUUCAGACCCACAUGUACCUCCUGCUCCCUGGAUUAAUAGUCGUUGCAUGUUUAAAGCUAGCAACAUCUGAUGAAUAUUUAAUAGCAUCAAGCAGACAGGCUGCAAACAGCUGUCUGAGACAGCAGCUGCUUAGGGGGAGGGGAGGAAGUGCACAGCACUGCCUUAACUACCCGUUCUUUUGUUCCCUGGCCUAGAAAAUAGACCUGGCUUUUCAAGGCCCCUUAGGAGCAUAAGCCUAUGGGGGCACUGCACCCUAGUCCUAUUGUAGCCUGAUUGCUGCCCUCGGCUCCUAAGGAGGCUGCCUUCAAGCAGGAGACUCAACCCUUUUUGGGAGGUAAUGGGGAAGAAUGUUCACUGACCUCUAGAAUCCAUUUUCCAGUCCCAGGGCUGGAGGUCUUCUACUCUAUUGUCUAUUCUGGCUCUGAAGCUGAGGAUGCAGUCUCAUCUAGUGUUCUGCAAACUGCAGCUCACACUCUCUGGUUUUUUUUUGUUUGUUUAUUUUGAAUGUAAUUUCUGCUUUCGUGUACAGCUCUCUCUCCUUUUAGGAGAGAGACGUGUAUCUGAAAGGGAUGUGAAUUUCAUAGCUGUGCUGCUGAGGUUUAGCUUCUUGGUAUACCGUGAUCACAGAUUCCCUAGCCUCUCACCAGUGACCAUACUUCUCAUUCCUAGCCGGUACUGUGGUGAUUGUAUUUGCAUCUCAGGCAGGGAAUGGGCUGAUAGGAGUUCUCAUGUACACAAGCUAACCCCAUCCUUAGACCUUGGGGAGCUUCUUGCUUCAAGGAGGCCUUGUCACUUUCAGGGCAAAUUGGGGGUGGAGGGGGGUCGUCCAGGGACUCAUUAAAAAAGACAGCUUAGUUGAGAUGUUUCUAGAUAGAGUGUGAGGCACAGCCAGUCUAUCAGCCCAGAUUAAUCAGCUAAAAAGGGCACCUUGCCAGAAAUUUGGGUACUAUUUCUGAUCUUAAUAUUGCAUUAAGAUGCCUGAAUUGACUGUUCCCUUGUCAAACUCAGGGUAGCCAGUCUCUUUCUUCUAGGCACCGUGAUGUGUGUGAAAACUUGAGAUAGAAGAGUUUGGGUUCAGAUACAGGGCUAAUUAUUCCCAGGGGUCUUCUAACUCCAGCAGCCUUCAUGGUUCCUAUUCAUGGCCUAGCUUUAGGUAUAAGAUGGUUGCUCCUCAGGUCUCAGGCUCUGGGGUUGGAAUGUAGCAAACACAUUCUGCAUCUGCCUUUGAGAAAGAGAAAUAUCUUAUUCUCUGAUGUGAUUAUUUUUAAGCUUCUCUCCAGAAAUCAGUACAGAUGUCUCCUUUCAUUCUUUUUAAAAAUACAUUCACUAUUAUACAUUAAACACCUACUAUGUGCUAGACACUGGGGAUCCAGUGGCUGGUGAACAAUAUAAAAUGGUCCCUGGCUUCGUGGAGUUUAUAGUCUAUUUGUGGAAAUAGACGUUAAACAAAUAAUCUCAUAAAUAACAAAUAAUUUCAAUUGUGUAAAGUUCUACAAAGAAAAGAACGGUGCGAUGAGGGUACUGUGGUUUUCCUUGAGGAAAUGAUGUUUAAGCCAACAUCUGAAAGAAGACUUAGCUAGGCAGAGGGCUUGGGGAAAGGACACAGAGCAGCACUUUAUAGGCAGAGGAUAGGACUGAAGCAAGUUGAAGCCAAGGUAAGAAUCUGGACCUUUUUUAUUUUUAUUUUUGAGACAGGUCUUGUUCUGUCAUCCAGGCUGGAGCACAGUAUCAAGAUGAUGGCUCAUUACACCCUCGACUUCCCAGGCUCAAGUGAUCCUCCACCUCAGCCUCCCAAGUAACUGGGACUACAGGCAGCUAUCAGAGGACUCGGAAACCUGGAGAGCUACCUGCUGUAUAAAGGCUGGCCUGAGGGCAUUUGCUGAACACAGAGAAACCCAGGAGAGGAGAUCAGCAGUUUUCUUUCACUCUACUUGAUCUGUCAGAUUUACCCAGAGAAAGCCAGUCAGGAUCCCUUAAGAGUCUUUAGGCCCAGAAUGGAGUCCUCAGGGCUGCAGGGGACUGUGGUGCUAACAAUUAAACUGUUCAAGACUUUAAAGAGUUGAAGGGGACUAAUGGGUAUCCCUAGCAUGGCCUCCUAGAUGGGAAUGAACUGGCAACUCCGACUGUGCCAUUCCCAGUCUAUGUGGUUCCCUUUAGCCUCCCAGAGAAUUGGCUGAAACACCCUACGACCGUUUUGUUUCCCCACUACCACACCUGCGUUACGGGUAUCAGCCUGUGAGUCCUUGAACCCUUCCAGAGGGCUCCCAAACGAGGGUGAUCACUGCCCCUCCAUUGAAGACUGAGGAAAGCCAAGUGAGAAGAUUGUUUAUUUGGGCAAGUUAUUUAACAUCUGAACCUGUUUUUCUCUUCAUUGUUUAUUAUUUACCUUGUCCAAAAAGGUCAUAAAGGGUAGUAGGGCUUUUUCUGUUCCACCUCUGUACUAUAUUUCUCCCCAGCAAGUAUCUGCCCCUGAGGAGCUCAAUAAAGGUUUGGUCAAGUGAUGAA